Molecule: ribosomal RNA, 496 nt
Filed under: uncultured bacterium
Lineage: Bacteria
Description: partial 16S ribosomal RNA
Rfam family: Bacterial small subunit ribosomal RNA
Source: RNAcentral
AUGAACGCUGGCGGCGUGCCUAAUACAUGCAAGUCGAGCGAACAGACGAGGAGCUUGCUCCUCUGACGUUAGCGGCGGACGGGUGAGUAACACGUGGAUAACCUACCUAUAAGACUGGGAUAACUUCGGGAAACCGGAGCUAAUACCGGAUAAUAUAUUGAACCGCAUGGUUCAAUAGUGAAAGACGGUUUUGCUGUCACUUAUAGAUGGAUCCGCGCCGCAUUAGCUAGUUGGUAAGGUAACGGCUUACCAAGGCAACGAUGCGUAGCCGACCUGAGAGGGUGAUCGGCCACACUGGAACUGAGACACGGUCCAGACUCCUACGGGAGGCAGCAGUAGGGAAUCUUCCGCAAUGGGCGAAAGCUUGACGGAGCAACGCCGCGUGAGUGAUGAAGGUCUUCGGAUCGUAAAACUCUGUUAUUAGGGAAGAACAAAUGUGUAAGUAACUAUGCAGGUCUUGACGGUACCUAAUCAGAAAGCCACGGCUAACUACGUG